Molecule: long non-coding RNA, 194 nt
Organism: Cebus imitator (Panamanian white-faced capuchin)
Lineage: Eukaryota; Metazoa; Chordata; Mammalia; Primates; Cebidae
Exons: 3
Source: RefSeq, a predicted model, not a curated record
UACGAUCUCUACUGAAAGACAGGCAGCUGGGAUUACAGGGAGAAAGCUUUUAGUCUUUCACCAUUACGUAUGAUGCCAGCUGUGAUUCUUAUAAGCUGCAUUACAGUGAGGUGGUUGUGGGGACUUUCAGGCUGGGGUGAGGUGGUGGGCACAGCAGGGGGUGGGAGCUGCAUGGGGACCACUUUAUGAGGAAA